AGAGAUACCUUUGUUUCUUUGCCAUUGUUUCAAUCUUGGAAUUUAGACUAAAGAAAACCCUGAAUUUACAAAACUGUGGAGAUAUUUUGGGAGCAUUCUUAAGAUGAUUUUCUUAAUUUUGGCUUUUCUUAAUUCCAAAAUUUUGAUAAUUUAUAAUUUAUUCAUAUAUUAUAUAGGGUGUGUUGAAGUGGUUGGCUGUGUAAGAUGUGAAGAGCUAGCAAGCUGGGAGGCAGUACCUGAAGGGGCAAGGUUAGAAGGACAAACAGAUUUUUGCUGGCUUUGUGAACAGCCACAGGUGUGCCAUUUGCGCUGGCCAUAUCUUUGAAAGUAUACUCGUGCACUAAUUGCCUGCUCCUCACCUGAUGCAGAUUGCUAGUUCCAUUUGAGAUGCGAGGCUAUCAAGGUGUUUAUAACUUGGAAAAGACGAUAUAUGAAGCUGCAGUUUGAUGCAAAAAUUCAAGUCAGCCUCCCAUCAGUUGAAUAUUACUCACCAGCUUGUUACUUUUUGCUGUAUUUUAUUCUUAGCAACUGUGCACUCAUUAUUAACAUAUUUGGAUUGAAACUAGCUCAUACCGUACUCAUAGAAUUGUGGUAAGAGGCUGGAAUUUUUUUUUUUGGAAAAAUAUCAUUAAAAAAGUAAUAUGAAAAAAGUUAAUUUUUUUAGAGUUUUUAUUAUUAAAAUGUGUUAUAUUUAAUUUUAAAUUAAUUUUUAAUACUUUUAAUUUUUUUUUCCCAUCAAUAAUUUUAGCAGAAAUGUUAAACUGAAAUUCAUUACCUUAAACCAUAUAUUCGAAAUGAAAUUAUCUAGGUCAAUAAAAUCCGCGGGGGACGUGUCAAGCACUCAUUAGGCAUCUCAGGAUAUUGAAUGAAUGGACUCUGGAAUGACAACCCAGCAACUCUUGACAAGUUUAGUUGACGGAGACCGAGACGCGUUCUUCUGUAUUAUUUAUUAGGUAUUAUUUUUUUUAAUUUUUUGAACAGAGCCAAAAAUGGAAGUUACUUCGUAUUUGCUCGCUUUCCUCUUGAUCCAUGGGCUGCUCCUUUGUAGUUGUGAAGGGAAGGCCCUUGAAUGGGAAUCCCCUUCUACUGAAUUUUCUCAUCAUCAUUACAAGCUGAAGGUGUUGACCAGAAGGCCUUUUCAUAUCACCACCACCACCUCCUAAGCUUAACAAUCGUCCUCAACAGAAGCCAAAACCGCCACCAUUACCAUCACCACCGCCACCCUCACCCUAUCCCAUAUAAUCACCUUCAUAUUGACGCUAUAUUUUUCUUGGUUCAGAAGCUUCUUUGUGUUGAAAUCUGAUUCAAAAAAUGGUAAAAAUUGGACUUUGUCUUUGAUGUUAGUUUUAGCUGUAGAUUCUUGCCCCUUAAUUUUCUGUCUUCAGUUGAUAGAAUGAAUCUAGAAGUAUUGGCAAUAAUAUCUGAUGUUAGUUGAGAUUUUUUCAGCCUUUUCACUUUGCUUGUGCACUUUCAGUUCUGGAAUAAAUAGCAGAUAGCUUCAAUUUCUGCAUUUCUUUAUCUUAUUUCCUUUUCUGCAAUUUCUUAUGCCCUGUUGCUUAAAUUCUCAACAUUUGUUCUGUUCAGAUUAGUUUUUCUUUUCCAGAUUUUUAAUUUACUCAUAUUUAUUAGUUCAGUUGUCUAUUGGGGAUCGUCAUGAUAUCAAUUGACACUAUAAAUAUGAAUGGAGUAAAGAUGCAGAAACUUGGUUGAAAUGGUCAGUGAUAAAUAAAUAGUAGGAAGGAUGAUGGGAUCCAAACUAUUUAUCUUGUUCAGCAAUUGGAAUUUUCAGUUCAUACUUGUUCACAUUCAUCUGGAUCUUCAUCAACUAUUUACAUGACUGCAACUCAUAUAUACUUUAGUUUCUGGGUCUUCCUUGGAAAUUAUUCUGUCGUUUUAUUUAUUUAUUUUCAAGAUCCUAACAUUCUUUAGCAAAGUAACAAGCCUACCAUCAUGAGCCACAGAUUUUCUCAGGACUUGCUGCAAUGCAGUCAUGAGUAAUCAUGAAUUGGAGGUUUUGACUUGUUUUUUUUUUUAAAAAUAGUAAAAACAUCCGUUUCAUUUAUCUUUGUAAUCUGCGCAAGAAAUUAAAGAAGAUCAUUAUAAUAUUAAAAGUAUCAAAUCAAAAGAAAUCAGCCAUAACUGCCAAAUAGCCUAUCUCAAAAGACAACAUGAAACACUGCCAACUGUUGAUUCCGACUACGAAGAGAAAAGACAAGAAACUGAUAACCCAGUGAUGAGCAGUGGAGGGAGAAGGAGGCAUGGGAAUUACACCAACCCCUGCUUGACCAUGCACCAACCAUAGGCUUCACUUCUACACUUGUUCGGACAGAGUAUUGUAUGAUUUAUUAAUAUAUGGUUGUAUUAUAUUGUAUCAUUUUUAUUAUUAAUGUGUUUAAAAAGAUAAUAUAAUAUAGAAUUAGCUAAAUGGUAUGAUAGGAUAUAAUAAAUAUAAAUAUUACUAAAAUAUAUUUAUUAUUAUUUUAGAUAUAUAAAAAGUUAUUUUAAACUUUGUUUUUACUGUUUGAAUUAUUUAAUUGAUAAAAUAGAUGAAAUAACAUAAAUAUAUAAAAUGAAAUCACUUAUUAAUUUCUCUUCUCCAAAGAUGUUACGGCCCAUGAGACACUUCUCUCUAUAUUUCAAUAAUUGGUGGAUUCCUAUGGAAUUAUGCUAUCAGAAAAGAAGAGCUCAUUGGCCCAAACUGACAUUGACUUCCUUGGAAUGAAGUUCAAUGAUGAAAAAUACCAACCCGCUGAGCCAUGCACUGAUAAUGCUUUUCAAUAUCUGUUCUCUUUAAAUAGCAACAUCGCAUGUCAAAGAACUCUUGGCGUAGCUGUUUGCUAUAUAAAGAUGCAUCUUGGGCUUGAGGAGGCCUAGUGGGAGGGCCUGUAGUGCCAUUGGUGGAAUCUGUAGUUGAGGAUGGACCUAUUUGAGAUGCAGUUGGUUGAGGAUCAGCCAUGAGCAAUGUCGUGAUGUCCAUUCUUCCGUCCUCACUGUCAUCUUCAGAUAAGUCAUCUGAAGAGUUGUCUUCUGAUUGGCCACUGUCGGUGUACAGGAAAUGGUGGGUCAGCACUUUGAAUGGCAUCCCGUGACUCUGUGUCCAUUGGAUCUGAGAAUCUUGCCACAUGGGAUGAGUUCAGUUAAUGGGCUCAUCAGUGAGAGACCGGAUGGGACCAAGUGCUGUUCAAUUUACAUGGGGAGACACCAGACAAUAAUAGCUGUUGAUUUCACAGAGAUAUUCAGCUAGUUGUUUUCUUAGGGGUCGUCUUGCAGAAUUCAAAGCUUGGCUCGAUGUUUAGAUGCUCAGAGAAGGUGCUGAUUCUCAUACUGUUCUCAGAGAAUUUAUCUCUCGAACUACUGGCACCUUACAAAAUUGGUUUGCCUCCAUUGGAGAAUAUAAUAAAGCCUAGUUUUGUCACUGUGGGAAUGCAGAAAGUUGUUUUAGGCCUAUCAGAGGGGUUAAUACCCAAUUGUCAAAAUCCAGUUUUAAGAUCAAACUAGAACUAAGUAAUAUAAGAAUCAGAAAAUUAAAUCUAACAAUCAAAUAAAAAUAAAAAAAAGAUAAUUAUCAAUAAAAAUCACUAUUGCGAUGAAUUUGUACUAACACCUAAAAUUAGUGGCUAGAGCAAGAGUGAAGAGGAAUAUUGAAGCAAUAUUAUAGACUUAUAAAAUCUUGAGAAGGUGUUGGAGAGGAUUCGUGAUGUAAGAGAUGAUAGAUUGAUAUGGUAGACUGAAAAUUUUUUAUUAAAAAGAAAAAUAAAAAUGACGAGGGAUAAGGAAUGUCUUAUAAAUAAAAAGAAUAAGGUGUAAUUGAAAUUUUAUAAAUUAUAUAAAUAUAAAAUUAAAAAGUAUAAAAAUUUUAAAUUACUUAAAAUUACAAAUUUAAUAAUUUAAAAACAUGUGGUAAAAUAAUCAUUUUGCAAUUCGAAACCACCGUCGUAACAUUAACAAUCUUCACAAAUAAAUUUCUGGUAAAAAAAAAAUCUUCACAAAUAAAUAGUAUUAUCAUUCCAUACACUUCAAACAAGGGGUUAGUUUAUGGGAUCAAACGCAUUGAAGGCAGGUCAUGGCCUGCUCCUAUUCAAGGUCAAUCAGCCCUUCAACUUUUCAACUUGCGGAAAUCUCGAUAACCCGGUAAUUGCAGUUAACCGCCAAGGAUUUUUGUUUAUUUGUUUAUUUUUUUAAAGUGCGGAGAUUUCUUGCUAGGAAUUUGGAAAAGAAGAGAAGAAAAAGGUUGGAUUUUUGGUGAUUGAGAGAUUUGAUUUUCUUCUCAACUUUGAAUUUCACUCAGCCAAAUUUUUUAUUUUGAAUGGCACCUUGGAUUCAUGCUGCAAGUAAAGUUCCAGAGGAAACUACGAUCAAAGCAAUGGAGGAAUUUUAUAGGGAAAUCUAUGCAGUGAAUGGCAUCACUGAAAUUAAUUUUCCGGAACAUUAUCCUGUUUCAAGACCUUUAGAUAUGGUUUUGGAUGUGUUGAAGUGGUUGGCUGUGUAAGAUGUGAAGAACUAGCAAGCUGGGAGGCAGUACCUGAAGGGGCAAGGUUGGAAGGACAAACAGAUUUUUGCUGGCUUUGUGAACAGCCACAGACGUUGCUAUUUCCAUUUGAGAUGCGAGGCCAUCAAGGUGUUUAUAACUUGGAAAAGAAGUAUUUUGCCUUUGACAGAUAUAUGAAGCUGCUGUUAGAGGUCUCAUUCCAGUUAAAGGCCCAAUGCCAGUAAAAUUUCCCCUUCCAAAUCCUCAUGAUCCUUUUUCCUUAAAACCAGGGUCUAUUUCAGUGCUAUUCCCUGAGAAAGCUUCUGAUGUGGAGAAAUCAUCAAGUCUCACAGCAGCCAUUGCUGUUGCAUGUGCAGCAGCUACUCAAUUCAACAUGAAAGAUCAAGAUCUCCUAGCAAAUACUGUCCAGAUUAACAAUUUUAAGAAGUGACCAAGUGAACAGCAAACCUUUGGAAGAACAUAAAAAGCUUAUAUGAAGUCUCCAAUGUCAUACCUUCAGUGUCAAAUGAGGCUGAACAAAGCAAUCUCAUCCAGUGUGAGGAAAGCAGUUGCCAAAGUCGAACGCGUAUUCCUGGAGCUCCUGCUAAGGCUGUUGCAUCUAAUUCUUAAUACUCAAUGCAAGUCCAAAUUCAUUUGGACUCAUGUUUGGUCAUGAUAAAAAUUAUAGGUAUUGGAUCUAGAUGCUCUUCUGCUAGUUCAGAUUACCUUGAAAGGGUUCUAAUUGGAUCUCUCUCUGAGCUUUGUUUAAUUUUUUUUUAUUUUCUUAUUAUUUUUAUUUGGUGGGACUUGUGUUGUUCUAUUCCUGUGUCAUAAGGUCUAUUGUGAAUAUGCCAUGUUGUUUAAGUGAAUGGAAACAUGUGAUACAAGCAAAACCUAUCUGACCUCAGGCUUGUCUUGCAAGUUACAUUGCCCAAGAAAUAUAUAUCAAAUAAUUUUUCAGGAUGAAGUUUGAGGCUUGUUUGUUGAUUGAUUAAAAUUGAGGUCAGCAUCUAAUUCACAUUGGUCUCUAUAAGUAGUAUGGAGAAGUAGAUAUCACUGAUGAGAGUCAACUGUAACCAUUCUCAUGCAUAAAGAAAGGCUGCUCUGUAUGCACAAGGCUCCCUGCUGUGUAAGGGUCAGGAACUCCUAGUCUAUUAAGGAGCAACCUUAAAUGGAAAAUUGGAACUUGGUUGAGAACAAAGUAAAUGCUUUCUGAAAGAAACAGAAGACAGAAAAACAGACUUUGUUGAUUUUCAUAUGAUUGUUGAUUCAGUGUCCAUUAUUUGACAAGUCUCAUCUUUGGAUUUCUAGAUUUUUUGCUGCUGCUGUUAGAGGGCUGAAGCCAUCCUGAAUUCACGUUGGUUGCUAUGGGAAUAAGUUUUGAACACUAACAGAAGUGACAUGUAGUUCAUUUUUGUUGCGAAAAUUCAAGUCAGCCUCCCAUCAGUUGAAUAUUACUGACUAGCUUGUUACUUUUUGCUGUAUUUUAUUCUUAGCACCCGUGACUAAUUAUUGACAGAUUUGGAUUGAAACUAGCUCAUACUGUGCUCAUAGAAUUGUGGUAAGAGGCUGGAAUUUUUUUUUUUUGGAAAAAUAUUAUUAAAAAAGUAAUGUGAAAAAAGUUAAUUAUUUUAGAGUUUUUAUUAUUAAAAUGUGUUAUAUUUAAUUUUAAAUUAAUUUUUAAUAUUUUUAAUAUAUUUUAUUUUAUUUUUCUCAUCAAUAAUUUUAACAGAAAUGUUAAACUGAAAUUCAUUAUCGUAAACCAUAUAUUGGAAUCGAGAUUAUCUAGGUCAAUAAAACCCGCAGGGGACGUGUCAAAGACUCUUUAAGCAUUUCAGAAUAUUGAAUGAAUGGACUCUGAAAUGACAACACGACAACUCUUGAUAAGUUUCGUUGACGGAUUUGUAAUCAUCUCAUAAUUAAUUCGGUCUAAAUCCACGAGCUGCUCUUUCACCCACUACGUACUAACUUCCAUUAAUGCUUUUCUCCGAGUCUUAUUAAAUUUUUUUCUUUGGUAUAAUUCACUGAGAGUCCAACUCAAGACCAUAUAAUUCUGGAGUUCUCCUCCAGAAUUAGGUAUUUUGUUUUGAUUUUUUAAACAGGAACCAACAAUGGAAGUUACCUGCUAUUUGCUUGCUUUCCUCUUGAUCCAUGGGCUGCUUCUCAGUAGCUGUGAAGGGAAGGCCCUUGAAUGGGAAUCCCCUUCUACUGAAUUUUCUCAUCAUCAUUACAAGCUGAAGGUGUUGACCAGAAGGUCGGUUCAUAGAAUAUCACCACCGCCACCUCCUAAGCUUAACAAUCGUCCUCAACAUAAGCCGCCUAGACGACAACCGCCAUUACCAUCACCACCGCCACCCUCACCCUAUCCAAUAUAAUCACCUUCAUAUUGACGCUAUAUUUUUCUUGGUUCAGAAGCUUCUUUGUGUUGAAAUCUGAUUCAAAAAAUAGUGAAAAUUAGACUUUGUAUUUGAUGUUAGUUUUGGCUGUAGAUUCUUGCUCCUUAAUUUUCUGUCUUCAGUUGAUAGAAUGAAUCUAGAAGUAUUGGCAAUAAUAUCUGAUGUUAGUUGACAUUUUUUCAGCCUUUUCACUUUGCUUGUGCACUUUCAGUUCUGGAAUAAAUAGCAGAUAGCUUCAAUUUCUGCAUUUUUUUA
Molecule: RNA transcript, 7119 nt
Organism: Hevea brasiliensis (rubber tree)
Lineage: Eukaryota; Viridiplantae; Streptophyta; Magnoliopsida; Malpighiales; Euphorbiaceae
Exons: 9
Source: RefSeq, a predicted model, not a curated record